RNAcentral lists this ribosomal RNA (143 nucleotides) under uncultured bacterium. RNAcentral describes it as "partial 16S ribosomal RNA". It matches the Rfam family "Bacterial small subunit ribosomal RNA", at positions 376 to 509 of the family's 1533-position model. The record is from RNAcentral.
CGAAAGUCUGAUGGAGCAACGCCGCGUGAGUGAAGAAGGGGUUUCGGCUCGUAAAGCUCUGUUGGUAGUGAAGAAAGAUAGAGGUAGUAACUGGCCUUUUAUUUGACGGUAAUUACUUAGAAAGUCACGGCUAACUACGUGCC